GGNNGNNAGCACAGGGCGGCUGUCUUACCAUGCAGUCGAACGAUGAACCACUUCGGUGGGGAUUAGUGGGCGAGUAACACGUGGGCAAUCUGCCCUGCACUCUGCGAACGGGUGGGACAAGCCCUGGAAACGGGGUCUAAUGAUCCUCGCAGGCAUCUGCGAGGUUCGAAAGCUCCGGCGGUGCAGGAUGAGCCCGCGGCCUAUCAGCUAGAUUGGUGAGGUAACGGCUCACCAAGGCGACGACGGGUAGCCGGCCUGAGAGGGCGACCGGCCACACUGGGCUGAGACACCCGGCCCAGACUCCUACGGGAGGCGGAGCAGUGGGGAAUAUUGCACAAUGGGCGGCCUGUGCAGCGACGCCGCGUGAGGGAUGACGGCCUUCGGGUUGUAAACCUCUUUCAGCAGGGAAGAAGCGAAAGUGACGGUACCUGCAGAAGAAGCGCCGGCUAACUACGUGCCAGCAGCCGCGGUAAUACGUAGGGCGCAAGCGUGUCCGGAAUUAUUGGGCGUAAAGAGCUCCCCGUAGGCGGCUUGUCACGUCGGUUGGUGAAAGCCCGGGGACCCCGGGUCUGCAGUCGAUACGGGCAGGCUAGAGUUCGGUAGGGGAGAUCGGAAUUCCUGGUGUAGCGGUGAAAUGCGCAGAUAUCAGGAGGAACACCGGUGGCGAAGGCGGAUCUCUGGGCCGAUACUGACGCUGAGGAGCGAAAGCGUGGGGAGCGAACAGGAUUAGGGAUACCCUGGUAGUCCACCCGCCGUAAACGGUGGGCACUGUGGGCAACAUUCCACGUUGUCCGUGCCGCAGCUAACGCAUUAAGUGCCCCGCCUGGGGAGUACGGCCGCGAAGGCUAAAACUCAAAGGAAUUGGGACGGGGGCCCGCACAAGCGGCGGAGCAUGUGGCUUAAUUCGACGCGCGAAGAACCUUACCAAGGCUUGACAUACACCGGAAAACCCUGGAGACAGGGUCCCCCUUGUGGUCGGUGUACCCCAGGUGGUGCAUGGCUGUCGUCAGCUCGUGUCGUGAGAUGUUGGGUUAAGUCCCGCAACGAGCGCCCUUGUCCCGUGUUGCCAGCAGGCCCUUGUGGUGCUGGGGACUCACGGGAGACCGCCGGGGUCAACUCGGAGGAAGGUGGGGACGACGUCAAGUCAUCAUGCCCCUUAUGUCUUGGGCUGCACCCCCACGUGCUUGGCGGGUACAAUGGGGAAGCUGCGAUACCGCGAGGUGGAGCGAAUCUCAGCCGGUCUCAGUUCGGAUUGGGGUAUGCAACUCGACCCCAUGAAGUCGGAGUCGCUAGUAAUCGCAGAUCAGCAUUGCUGCGGUGAAUACGUUCACGGGCCUUGUACACACCGCCCGUCACGUCACGAAAGUCGGUAACACCCGAAGCCGGUGGCCCAACCCCUGGGGGAGGGAGCUUCGAAGGUGACUGGAGGUGAGGGGC
RNAcentral lists this ribosomal RNA (1437 nucleotides) under Streptomyces rochei. RNAcentral's name for it is "bacterial SSU rRNA". It matches the Rfam family "Bacterial small subunit ribosomal RNA". Lineage: Bacteria; Bacillati; Actinomycetota; Actinomycetes; Kitasatosporales; Streptomycetaceae. The record is from RNAcentral.